Molecule: long non-coding RNA, 239 nt
Filed under: Elaeis guineensis (African oil palm)
Lineage: Eukaryota; Viridiplantae; Streptophyta; Magnoliopsida; Arecales; Arecaceae
Description: long non-coding RNA (EGUI_LNC014538)
Source: RNAcentral
CUGAAGAUAAAGUUUUUGAUGGUAGAUGGAGUCGAGGAGGUCCGCAGAGAUCAGGACUUGGCACGCUACUGCUACAACAUCACUCUUUAAAGAGCUAAGCCUGUCGAGUCAUACUCGAUUGAAGGGCUGGACACCCAUGACAAAUUGGCUGAGAAGCAUGAAAAACCAGCUAAGGAUCUUAUAACCAUUCUCUUGGCAGAAGGAAACCAAGGGCACACUGUCUAGAUAGGAUCGAACCU